Molecule: non-coding RNA, 2335 nt
Organism: Arachis ipaensis
Lineage: Eukaryota; Viridiplantae; Streptophyta; Magnoliopsida; Fabales; Fabaceae
Source: RefSeq, a predicted model, not a curated record
AACCUUUUUCAUAAGCUACUGUAUUUCAAAAUUCAAAAACUCAAAUCUCUCUCCAUCGUUCUCUUUGCCUGCUGGUACGGAAGCUCAGCACCCUCACCGGAGUAAACACAAAAACUUUGCUUGCAAUGCAAACAGAGGAACCGCCGUUAGAACAGCGGCAGCGGCGAGUGGUGUUCCUGCCAACAGUGAAGAAGGAGUAGCUAGAAGCAAGUUGAUGACACGGCGAAGAGAACGAGAGCUCUGAGAUCCUACCAUCGACGGUGUUGCAGAGGAUUGAGUAUUAUUGUUAGUACAGUCUUAACCAGCAAAGCUAUUUUCCAAAGAAUGAAGAUCUAUACGAUCUAUACAGUAUCUAUCACCAUCCGAAUAGUGUUUGGCCUCAUGCUCAUUGAACUAAUAUGGAAAUUCAACUUCUAGCCUUCAUGUUUUUGACCAUUGCCAUUCUAAAUGAUGCUAAAGUUCCAAGCAGAUAUUCCUUUCAAGGACCAGGAGCUCAGGCAGUUUUCAACUGUGUGAGUUUUUAACUCACUUAUAACUUAAAUUGGCAAAGCUAUUGAGGUGGUUGAAAUUGGCAAAGGUAUCAAGGUUAGGUGUGAGCUGCACAAGACAAGUGGACUUCUAAAGAUAACGAAGGAGACAUAGGGUUCAGAAGGGGGGAUGCAAGGCACUAUACCCUUUACACUGGGAUCUUAGGCAACAUUCUUUCUUCGGAUUUUCUGGCACAAGUGCCUGCCUUUCAAUAUCAGUAUCCUGUCAUCAUAGAUGUUAAUAUCUAGUCACAGUCCUGAUUGAUUUGGCUUAUAUAGACUUCUCCUCCACAACAUUCUGUAUAGUAAGUUUGGGUUCAGUUUUAUUUUGCAUUAGUUCUUGAUUAAUAGGCACUGUUGAGAGUAAAUAAUAAAUAUUCUUUUUAUCCUUUAGUAGUACUGCCAAUGAUGAAAGUGGACUGUCAUUGUCUCCGGAAAUAAAUUUUGGCUAGACAGUUUCAAUGUAACAAACAAUAUCCUUUAAAUCAGGUGUAAGAAAAAUGAAUUAGUUGGUAGUUAAAAAAAUGCUUAGUUUGAUAAAAAGAAUUACUCACAAUGUAAGUUAAAUAAUUUAAGGUGGCUUCUUUAGGAAUUUAAAUGAGGUGUUACUUUUUUUACUUUCAUUGUGUAUAUGUUUAAAUUUCUAAACAUGCUUUGUGGAAUAAAAAGAUAUCUAUUUAUUAUUUUAAGAACUUUAAAUUUUUCUAUUGUAAGGUUUAAACUGCAUAUGCGAAUUAAAUAGUUUUUGAUGAUUUUGAAGUUUGAUUCUACAAACUCAAAUUAAGGUGCGAUUCUUAGAGUUUCACAUAUUAAUGUCGGCAAAUUCAGAACGGGCAAAUUGAGCGGAGUGAUUAAAGGCAGCAAAUUGAACUGAGAUGAAGGGCACAUAGUCAGUGUCUCUGAGGAAGGCAGACUUACAAGGGGAGGUUGAGAGAAUGGAUGCUAAGGUAAAGAUGGAGAAACUUUAGAUUAUAUCUUUAGGAAGAUCAAAUAUAGGACAAAAGUAAAAGAAAGAAUAAAACAUCAAAUUUUAGGACAUAAAAAAUGCCUUCUUUAUUUGCAUCAUGUGUGCAGAGUAUGCUAGAGUGAAGGAAUCCAUCAUGUUCGGAACAUGGAAUGUAGGAGGAGACAAUCAUUAUAAGUAUUUGUCUCUUUUCAUUUGUUGUUUUUAGUGUUAUUUUUACCCUUAAAAAAUUUGUGCUGUGUAUGUUUAAAUUUUUUUGGAUUCCUAAUUUUAUUUAUUUAAUAUAUAUCAAUUUCUGAAUUAUUUUAUUUUAUCACUCUUGAAAAACAAAAAUCGGGGCAGGUGGUAUUUUUUAUUUUUUUUAUUUCAAUUUUUCUUGCUUACUAUGAAAAAAAUGUGAAUAAAAUAAUAGCACUUGCAAUGCUUGGUAAGAUAUUUUAGCGGUCAAUAAAUUUGGUUAUAACAUACUAUUUUAAAUGCUAUUCUACUAUACUACAUCAAUUGUGUUUUUGUAUUCGUUUGAGUUUAUACGACCCAACAAAGCAGGCUCAAAUUGACAAGUUCAUGGUACAACACUUGAUCAAACUGUUAAUGAGAGGGGUUGGUGCAAGUAGAGUGUAUCACUACUUGAUUCCUUUGGCUUUCUAAGUUAAAAUGGCUGCAUUUUUAUUUGUGUUUGUACUCCAUGCAUUUUAUGCUAGAUGACAGGAGGAAUGGGCUGCGCUUGCAAAUUGAUGCAAGAUUGAUUGCAGCCGCAGCAAGGGGCAAGGACUUGAAAAGUUUCAUUUAUUGUUGAGAUUUGUCUUUUUAACUAUUAUCAAUGCUUAAUGUGUUGAGAUAGUAA